CGGACGGGUGAGUAAUGUCUGGGAAACUGCCUGAUGGAGGGGGAUAACUACUGGAAACGGUAGCCAAUACCGCAUAACGUCGCAAGACCAAAGAGGGGACCUUCGGGCCUCUUGCCAUCGGAUGUGCCCAGAUGGGAUUAGCUAGUAGGUGGGGUAACGGCUCACCUAGGCGACGAUCCCUAGCUGGUCUGAGAGGAUGACCAGCCACACUGGAACUGAGACACGGUCCAGACUCCUACGGGAGGCAGCAUG
This 252-nucleotide ribosomal RNA is filed under the name uncultured bacterium. Its description in RNAcentral is "partial 16S ribosomal RNA". It matches the Rfam family "Bacterial small subunit ribosomal RNA", at positions 99 to 353 of the family's 1533-position model. The record is from RNAcentral.